This 262-nucleotide ribosomal RNA is filed under the name Coronella austriaca. RNAcentral's name for it is "partial large subunit ribosomal RNA". The record is from RNAcentral. Lineage: Eukaryota; Metazoa; Chordata; Lepidosauria; Squamata; Colubridae.
CCAYAUARUAACUACUUUCGGUUGGGGCGACCUUGGAAAAAAAAAGAACUUCCAAAUAAAAUGAAUAUACCUCAUAUCUAAACAGGCCAACAAGCCAAAAAUGACCCAGCACAGCUGAUAAUUGAACCAAGUUACUCCAGGGAUAACAGCGCAAUCUUCUUCAAGAGCCCAUAUCAAAAAGAAGGUUUACGACCUCGAUGUUGGAUCAGGACAUCCUAAUGGUGCAGCCGCUAUUAAGGGUUCGUUUGUUCAACGAUUAAUA